This 1454-nucleotide long non-coding RNA is filed under the name Anolis carolinensis (green anole). RNAcentral's name for it is "lncRNA (ENSACAG00000044952.1)". The record is from RNAcentral. Lineage: Eukaryota; Metazoa; Chordata; Lepidosauria; Squamata; Anolidae.
AUGUUAAUCAUCAUCAUCAUCAUUAUCAUGCACUUUCUUCUUGCAGUCCGGGGAUUCUCCAAGCUGGCCAUUAUUGCCAUUGUCUUAGCGGCCCUGGCUGCCUUAGUGGAAAUGAUCAUGGAGCUUUUCGCCGUUUACAGUUAUUCUCGCCAAGAAGGUCGGACACUUUCUUCAGUUCUCAACUGUCCCUCUUGGGGGAGAUAAGCCCUGGGAUCCAAGAGACAAGCCUUUCCCUGGAUGAAUAAGAUAUGGAGUUUCCAUCUCCAGUGAAUGGACAAAGCCUGAAGAACAGAAUACAGAAAAAUAACACCGACACCUGUCGAGUCAUGAAAAUGAACAGAAAGGUCAGAUUGGUGAAAUCAUAUUGAUCUUGUUCAGGUUCCAAUUGGUACCGUUUGAGAAAAUACAUCUCCAACAUUUCAUCCUCUGCACUGAUGGACCAUGCAAUGACAAGAUCUUGCUCAAAAAUAAAAUGGAAGAGAACCCCAAGUUUGCAAAUUUCUUCUUUAGUUUAAUUCCCAAGCACAGAGAGGAAAUCAAAUGGAAAGGUAUAAUCUCACUUUAUGAAUAAGGAUUUUGUCUCCUAUAAAAUCAAUGAUAUGAACAGUCGGCUUUCAACACUUGUUAAGAUCAUGGGCAAAAAAACACCAUAGUUGGAAGAGCACACAUGGGCCAUCCAGGAAAAGCACAAUCAAAGCAUCCCCAACAGAUGGCCAUCCAGCCUUUGUUUAAAAGGUUCCAAGGAAGGAGCUUCCACCACACUCCAAUGUAGAGAGUUCCACUGCUGAACAGCUCUUACAGUCAGGAAGUUCUUCCUAAGUUCAGGUGGAAGUUCAGGUGGAAUGUCCUUUGCUCUGAGUCCUAGUCUCCAGAGCAGCAGAAAGCAAGUCUGCUCCUUCCUCCUUGUGACAUUCUUUCACAUAUUUAUACUUACUUACUUACUUAGGCGAUCCCUCGUAGCUCGAGGACAAUUGUCUUCCAUCUUGGGGGUUCUUAGGUGGCUGAAUAUUGACCCGCAUAUUCUCCCGCAGUGAGGACAUCGGUUUCCAGGUGGAAGGCGGUACCGGUCGGGGUUAGCUUGACGCUCCUUCCUCUUGGCACGUUUCUCCCUUAAGCCCUCCGUUCAUGCCUCUUCGAACUCCGCAGCACUGCUGGUCACAGCUAACCUCCAAUUAGAGCGCUCAAGGGCCAGGGCUUCCCGGUUCUCAAUGUCUAUGCCACAGUUUUUAAGUUUGGCUUUGAGCCCAUCUUUAAAUCUCUUUUCCUGCCCACCAACAUUACAUUUCCCAUUCUUGAGUUCGGAGAAGAGUAACUGCUUUGGGAGACGGUGAUCGGGCAUUCGGACAACGUGGCCAGUCCAGCGGAGUUGAUGGCCUAGGAGCAUUGCUUCAAUGCUGGUAGUCUUUGCUUCUUCCAGCACGCUGACAUUUGUCUGCCUGUCUUCCCAAGGGAUU